CCAGGAUCUAAAGGGAGGAUAAAGGGUGGAGAGUAUACCUACCUCUCGGAUUUUUUUUAAGUAUACCUAUUGUUAUCUCUUCACUUUCUUUUUUAUCGCAGGGCAAAAAAGAAUGCUCUUUUUCUUUUUCUUUUGUUUUCUCCUUUUAGAGGAUAGAAAGCAAAAAAAGAGAGUUAGAGAGGGGGGCGUUUCCCCUCUUUUUCUCUCUCUCUUUCUCUCUCUCCUUUUCUCUGUUCAGUGUGAUUUCCAGAUACUGCCAACACGCCGCCGUCGACUUGAGUUGCGCGAAGACGAACUGACAGACUUCCACCAACAAUGGGAACCUGGGCGGUUUGAGCAGCUCGUGAAAUCCCCACCCUUCCCCUCCAGCUCUCUCCUGCUGCACGCCGUCGAGCGGAGGAUGAGGGGGAUGGGAGGCAGGAGAGAAGGUGGAGGGGAGUGACCGCUUGCUCCCGUCUCGACCACGGGUAUUCUUGGGUUGAUAAUACAGAUGUCGAUGUUAUUGCUUGAGAAUACGCGUAGCUGAGCGGAAGCCAUCUUCAUCAGAUGUGUUUUCACCCUGAUGUGGACAGCUGCAGUGGUUGUGGUAAUCCUCACCCAAAGUCCUGCUUGUUGUCCCCUCUUCUUCCUCCCCCUCAGUCCUUCCUCUUCCUCUAUACAGCAUCCUCCUCUCUGCCUCUCUGCAGGAAGUCAGGAAAUGACUGCAUGGAAUAGCUACUCACCUCAGCUGACCCAUAUCUACAGCAAUAAAUAAAAAGUCUAAACCAACUGGAAUUGUGUUAAAAGAGGCUGGAGGCCGACCCAGGGUUCAUCAGAGAACUGCGGCUCACUGGCAUCGUGGGGUCAUCAAGUAACAACCAUCAGACGCCAUCUAUACAUCAACCAGUUAUUUCAACUCACCAGGUUUCAUUUUAGCAGCACAUUUUUGUUUCAGCUUUAGACAUCCUAUUUUGAAAAAUAGUUGUUUUAGUCAUGUUUUAUUAUUUGUUGUCUUUUAGUUUUAGUCAAGUACAUUUAUAAUAAAUGUAGCAGACUAAACUAUAAGCUCAUGGAGGAAUGGAUUUGGAGUGUAUGUUACAUCUUUAAGGAAAAUCAGUUCUUCAUACCUGUGUGAAAUAUUUAUCCAGGAGGAAAUGGAAUUAAAGUUACAAAGAGAGAGUGAUUUACUUGUUAUUUGAGCCAACCUUUAUAAAAUGUUACUUUUUCAAGUGGAAUUGUAUACAGAAUACACACAUUGAUCAAAAAAUUAAACAAUGUAAAUAAAAUGUAACAAUCUGAAACAUCAUGAUAACAUUUAUCCUUUCAAAAGCUAAAAUGUCCAGGGUUUUUUAAUUUAAUUGUACAAGCAAUAUUAAAAUUAGGUUUGUUUGAUCAGAAUAAAUUCAAUGUUUACAGUUUAUGAAAUAUGAACACUUUUUCCAUGUAACUGCUAAAUAUAUCAUUUCAUUCACUUCCUACUGUUUAAGAUUAAGUCUCACUGGCUAUUUUCCAAACUUAUCCCACCUUUAUACAUGACUAAAACAAGACUUUACUGGCCUUUAACCCCCUUCAACAUUUAGUCUCACUUUUACUAGUUGAAAUUUUUAUUUUAUCAUAGUUUUAGUCAUUCAGAAUUUUUUGUUACUUUUAGUGUAUUUGUCAGCAGGAAAAAAUGGUUGUUGAUGAAAGGCACCAUGAAAAUCCAUUGUUAACAAAGCUAACAUUGGGACUGUGUGAUGUUGUGAGGUUACACCAAAAUUGAGCUUUUGGGCAACAAGCACUUCAGGUGGGUUUGGCAUGAAACAAAUGAAGAAUGUUUGGAUAAGCAGACAUGCCCAAUGUGAAGUAUGUGUGAUGCUGUGGGUCUGUUUCUCUUCCAAAGGUCCUGGUAACUUUGGAUGUAUUCACAUUGCUGGUCCAAUCCAGGGAUCAUUCCAGGCAUCGGUGAAGUGAGAAAGUUCACACCUUCAUUUGGCACAGUGCGCCAUUACGCAGAGAUUUUUAGAUUGGACCAAUUAAUGUCGUGCAGUUGCAACGAAAUUGUUCGUGGGCGGCAUCACUCCAGUAUUGCACUGAUCGAGAAGAAAAAAAGUACGAAGAUGAAAGUCCGUCUCAUCAGGGUUUCUGUUGUUACUUCUGUGCUUAAAUGUAGAUAUGUGCCUGCACUACUGUAAUACUCUAUGUAGCCCCACGAGACAUUUACAAACCCUUACAUCUUCAGAUUCCCGCUCUCACUAUGUUUUUGUUCUUCUAGUCAAAUGCGUUGUUCUUACAUCACAUUGCAUGGUACACUGGGAACAGCACAGGUUUACACUACAAGCGAACCAAGCCGAGACCGGCAGUUGUAACAGUGCCCGGGUACGUUCUCUGGUCAGUUCCAGGGUCCGGGAUCGGUUCGCACCGGCAUCUAGAAACCAGACUCUGGCAUGGUACAAGUGUUUCACAGAUUUGGUGUGAAUAUUCUGUUUUUUACAAUCGAUGGCAUCAUGAAGUCUACACAUUAUUAAUAAAAAUCUGGUCCACUCUACCAGAGAACUGAAAAUGGGUCAUCAUUGGUUCUAUCAAUAGGAUAAUGUUCAAAAGUAAGUUAAAUAUACACCUAAAGGGUUUGAAGAGAAGACCCAGAACUGUGGAUGAUCUAGAGAGUUUGUGCAAAGAGGAAAGAUCCCUCUCUGUGUAAGCUUCACACUUGUGAAAUGAAAUGAGAAACAUGACUUCUGUCGUAUUUACAGAAGAUAGUUUUACAAAGCAUUGAAAGCAGGGGUAGUAAUAUUUGUGCCACCAGUGACUUUUUUAAAUUAUUA
This is a long non-coding RNA of Girardinichthys multiradiatus, 2783 nucleotides long. RefSeq lists it as uncharacterized. NCBI's taxonomy places the organism in Eukaryota, Metazoa, Chordata, Actinopteri, Cyprinodontiformes, Goodeidae. The transcript is spliced from 3 exons. The record is from RefSeq and is a predicted model, not a curated record.